Molecule: long non-coding RNA, 4355 nt
Organism: Camelina sativa (false flax)
Lineage: Eukaryota; Viridiplantae; Streptophyta; Magnoliopsida; Brassicales; Brassicaceae
Source: RefSeq, a predicted model, not a curated record
GACUACACAUUAUAUGAUUGUGUUUGUCCGGUUUCUAACUUGGGGAAAUUGUCCGCGUCCGUAAAAAGGCUUGUCAAUACAUUCUCUACUGUCUUGCUGUGGCUGGGAUAGCUUGACAGAAACUUCAAUCUCUGCUAAAAAGAUCAGUCUUUAUUAAGGCUUGGACUAUGAUUUGUCCUCAGAAAAAUUCAAUAUCUCUGCUAUAAAUUAUAUGGAGUUACAAUUCAAUGUUUCUGCUAAUUUGAUGGAGAGUAAAAAGUCCUUUGGACAAUGAUAUCUAAGAAAAUUCAAUUCUCUGCUUAUACAAUGAUUCAAUGUUCUGAUGGAGAGGAAAAGAUACAGUCUGCAAAUAAUGGCUUGGCCUCAGAUGCAUGCUCAGUUGUAACAUUCAAUAUCUCUGCUAUGGAGGAUACUUCAAUCUCUGCUCUUUAUUAUUACGGCUUGGACAAUGAUGUCCUGAGAAAUUCAAUUCUCUGCUGAAACUAUUAUUUCAUUCAAUAUCUCUCUGCUAUAGAAAACUUCAGUCUCUGCUAAGUUCAGACUUGUACAGCGAUGUCUGGAGAAAUUCAAUGUUCUGCUUAAAAUAGAAAAUUCAAUGUUCUGCUAACUACUUAUGGAGAGAAAAACAAAAAAAACAGUUCUUUUUUUAGGAGUUGUGGUUGCUGGGGCUGGGACAGUUACUUAGGAGUUGUGGUUGCUGGGGCUAGGAAAGCUUGAUAACAGAAGCUAGAUGUUCUUGGGGCAGAGAUAUUACGACUGUAAGUGAAAGCCUUUCAAAACUAUAUCCCAAGAUAGAUCAGCCUAUUAAGGCUUUGGACAAUGAUGUCCUGAGAAAUUCAAUUCUCUGCUUAAAUUAUAUGGAGUACAAUUCAAUAUUCUGCUAAUUUGAUGGAGAGUAAAAGUCCUUUUAAGGCUUGUUUAAUGCCUUUGUAAGAUUGGAGAGCUCUGUCCGAUCAAAGAUAUUGUGCUGAAGCUGGCAGCAUCUUUAAAAUUCAAUAUAAUCUGCUAUAAAAAAACUUCAGUUUCUGCUAAGUUCAGACUUGUACAGUGUUGUCUGGAGAAAUUCAAUUAUCUGCUUAAAAUUCAGUGUUCUGCUAACUGAUGGAGAUAAAAUAUCAUAUUCAAUGUUCUGCUAACUGAUGGAGACUAUAUGUCCUUAAUUAAGGCUGGUUUUGCUGGGGCUGGGACAACAUGAUUCUCAUUCAAUAUUCUCUUUUGAUCAGGUAAGUGUCUCUUCCCUUCCCUCUUUUAUAAUAAGGUAUAAUAUAUUCCCUUGAUUUGAUCUCUAAUUUGAUCACAUAAUCUUUUAUAACUGUUAUGAGUUGUUAUUACUAAUCUAAACUUUUAGCUUCAGAAGCCCAAGAACUAGAGUGUGUACAUGAUCUUUCUCAGGGUUGUGGAGACUCUAGCUUUUUGGUAACUUCUGGUGCACAACAGGAUUAGCUGAACGAGCAGAAAACAUAAUAGAAAUUGGAAAUCUAACCUCUUUUCAAGCAUGUAAGUAUCUGAAUCUUGAAUCCAAUUGUACUUGCAAGUUCUAUUUAUUUCAUCGUUCAUCUGAUAUGUUUUUAGAAUAAGGCAUCUUUGGUGUGUAUAUGAAUGAUCUGAUCUUAGGUAAAUGUUAGUUUUCUCUUUUCAAUAUUAGAUUGGUGUUUCUUCUGUGUUGAUUGUUGUAGUAGAGACUGUGUCUGAACCGGCAGCUUUUGAUCAGGUAAUUUUUUACCCCUUAAUCAAAGCUCUAAAUUCAUAUGUUGUUUAUGCUGUAGAAAAGUUGAGAUCUCAUGAGUUUUUCAAAAUACUAUGGUUUCUUCUUUGUCUUUACUAUAGUGACUGAAUGUUUAUAUCAACAACAACAUUGAAAUACUGACUUUGUCAUCUAAAACUUGACUUUAUACAACAACAUUUUGAGGUCUCUACUUACCUAUACUACAGUUUAAAUAUUAACUAUAUGAUAUUUUGUUUUUAUCAGGGGCAUGAUUGGAGCUUCUGUGGUGCACGUCGUCUUCAACAACACCCCUCUUUCCAAGUGGAUUUUUUGCAUUAGGAUUAAACAAAAUUUUAACUAAGCUGCUCCCACAUCUCUAAUAUACACAUAAAAACAGAUGACACGAACACCCACAUACACGAAACGUAACCAUAAAACACAAACGAAAAUUGUCUACCCACAAUCUCACACGCUGAUACAAACACACACGUUUCACGAACACACAGACACUGAAUGUAAACGUAAACAUAACUUUUGUGUACCAAACGCUAAUACUAACAAACUUAAAUGCAAGACAUAUGCAUAAGAAAAAAAUAACGUGAACUGAUUCAGUUGAAAUUAGUGUUUGUUUAGUAGUAGUAGCAUCAGAUGAUCGUUCUCUUAAUUUUCAACAGACCAAAUCGUUGAAUGACCGAAGUUAAAUCCAAGUUGAACCAAACCAAGAUAGCUGCAAAACGCCUGUGCAAAAGAAAUAGCGAACCUCUUCACUUCACCUUAUCAUAAUCAGCUUCUCUAACACUCACAAGUUUUCAACUAAAUGACGUAUUUGCUAAGACCAAUUGAAUCUUAAAUAAUGUUUCAAAUAUUAUAUUUUUAUUCAUUUUGAAGAUGAAAAUAAAAAACAACUAUUCACAUGAAUUUCCAUCUUUAAAAUAAAAAUUGAACAAUAUCUUUUCAUAAAUUUUUUUAUUUUAUAAACCAUAUAAAUUCCACACCUUUGGCGCAUAAUCACUCUUAGUACCUGAAGCAAACCUUUACACCAUUCCGGUUUAAGAAAUGUCUCUUCGUCCCAAAAGAUGAUUAACCUGUGGUACAAGAGAAUCAACCUCUUUUUACUACCACUAGAUCACCACUUUUUUGGUUGUUCCAUUAUAAUUGAAAGAAAAUUAUUCACAUCUUCAAUAUAAGAAGGUAAAAUUUUUAGUUACACAAAAAAUCCUUCAAAUUUUAACAAUCUUUAUUUAUGGUUAAAAUACAUGGUCCCAAAAGUUUGUGACUCAAUACAAAAAUGCUAAUUUUUACUUUGAAAUGCGUUAAUUAAUCAUUUGUAAUAUAAUAAGAUAUGUAAUGCAUAAUUUAUUAAUAAUCUUUAGUUAGAUAAAUUAUGAUGCUUUUAAAAUAUUGCUUAAAAUGAAACAAAUGGGUAAAAAUUAUAAAUAUGAAAAAUUAAAUAAUUAGUUAAAAAUUAAUAAUAAAUUAGAGAUAUAAUAUACUAAAAAUAUUUGUUUUGAAGUAAAAGCUAAUAGCUUUGUACUUUAAACUUGUCUUAAUCUUUUAACCCCAAAAGCUCUCAGGCCCGCUUCCCCAGAAACCCCAAAGCAGAAUGUCGAAUUUGAAAAACCGGAUCUCACCCACUUUUUAGUACUAAAAACAGAAAAAACUAUCGUGUCCUUGCCACAGUAUGUCAAGAACCAACGGUCUGUUGCUUUCCUCCGGAGCCAAACCCUUAACCCCCAUCAUCAAAACCCUACCACCUCCGCAUCCCGCUGACUGCAAACUUUUUUGAAGCCGCUACCGACGGCUAGACGAGAUCCCCUAGAAACGCUCAAGCCCUCUGACGUAUCCUGCAUCCAUUUCAAACUACGAACAAGUACUGUUAACUACAUAUUUUGUCUUCCCCAUCUCUGACCAAAACCCUACUCGAACCUCUUACCCUCUUUCUAUCUCGAACCACAAAGAAUGAACCUCUUACCCUCUUUCUAUCUCUGAACCACAAAGAAUGAACCGUAUACCGUACCACCUGAAAGGUAAAGAAGUUGAAAGAGGUUUCUCCCCUCCACCACGAAAACGAAUCCGAGUCCCGGAGAUAGAUACCUCUGACCUUAUUGAUGAAAACUCGCUUACCCUGAUGGGAAGAUUAACAAACCCUUCUAACCAAAGAAUUUGGGCAUUAUUCCCUUUUCUUAUCAACCGAUGGAAUCUAAAAGGUAACGCUACUGGGGCUGUCCUGGGAUGAGGCUGCUUUCAGUUUAAGUUUGAGCAUGAAGAGGACCUUCAUCGGAUAUCUCCUUGCCAAUAGACCAUACCACUUUAACUAGUGGAUGGUCAUCCUUCAAAAAUGGCAACCCAUUAUCUCAGAGACCUUUCCCUCCAAGAUCUCCUUUUGGAUCGAGCUCUAGGGGCUUCCAAAACAUUACUGGAAGAAGGAGAUGCUCCAGAAUAUUGUCGAAGUACUUGGCGAACUUCUGGAUGUGGACAUAUCCAGCUCCUCUGCAAAACUCAAAGCAUUGAUUGAUGGUCUUCAACCCCUGACAAAAGAAACAGUAGUAGAAUUCCCAGAUGGGAGUGAGGUCCUCAUAUUCACAAUAUAAAUACAUAAUAUAUUUGUAAUAACCUAAUUAAGUGCCUAAAAUAGUUUGAUAUUUGGAUA